Molecule: ribosomal RNA, 463 nt
Filed under: Vibrio alginolyticus
Lineage: Bacteria; Pseudomonadati; Pseudomonadota; Gammaproteobacteria; Vibrionales; Vibrionaceae
Description: bacterial SSU rRNA
Rfam family: Bacterial small subunit ribosomal RNA
Source: RNAcentral
AGAAGUUUCCAGAGAUGGAUUGGUGCCUUCGGGAACUCUGAGACAGGUGCUGCAUGGCUGUCGUCAGCUCGUGUUGUGAAAUGUUGGGUUAAGUCCCGCAACGAGCGCAACCCUUAUCCUUGUUUGCCAGCGAGUAAUGUCGGGAACUCCAGGGAGACUGCCGGUGAUAAACCGGAGGAAGGUGGGGACGACGUCAAGUCAUCAUGGCCCUUACGAGUAGGGCUACACACGUGCUACAAUGGCGCAUACAGAGGGCGGCCAACUUGCGAGAGUGAGCGAAUCCCAAAAAGUGCGUCGUAGUCCGGAUUGGAGUCUGCAACUCGACUCCAUGAAGUCGGAAUCGCUAGUAAUCGUGGAUCAGAAUGCCACGGUGAAUACGUUCCCGGGCCUUGUACACACCGCCCGUCACACCAUGGGAGUGGGCUGCAAAAGAAGUAGGUAGUUUAACCUUCGGGGGGACGCU